Molecule: non-coding RNA, 2388 nt
Organism: Anas platyrhynchos (mallard)
Lineage: Eukaryota; Metazoa; Chordata; Aves; Anseriformes; Anatidae
Source: RefSeq, a predicted model, not a curated record
CAGCUCUCCAAAACAAGCCAUGGGGGACAGAAGACCCAGUGGGAAUGAAGGUGGAGCCCACUGUGUUUAGAUGUGCUACCUAAAAGGUGGAUGCCAGAUGAGCUAUGCUGGUCCCGAGCCAUGUGAGUUAUCCACGCCGCACUGCACACCGUCAGAGCUGCCUGCAACUGCCUGCAAAGGUAGAAGAGAAGACGGCGAUACAUGAGCCAGACUACUGAUGAUUUCCAGGAGAAAAAUUUCAUGGCUGUACCAAAACGUUCAAAGAAGAAAGAUGAAAAAUCUUCAGGGCUGCAACUUGGGUCUCAUCUGGAAACUGCAGAAGUGGACAGAUUCAGACUUGGAUCGGUGUGGUCAGCUUGGAGGCAGUCUGAAUACAACUUGAAUAACAAUUUUAACUAAAUUGGUUUAGAAACCAAUUCAGGUCUAUAAACCACAUCAAACUAAAUCAAUUUAAGGUUCUCUUAACCUGAUUUAAGAGGGACUGCACCAGGAAGUUGCACAGGUUUAACUAAAUCUGUUUCUAAACCACCUGAGUUAACUCAGUGCUCAUCCUCUAUAAAUCAGCCAGUAGAUGCAGAAGUUACAGGGUCCAUAUUUUAUGGUUGCUCACUUGAUUCAUCUUGAUCUAUGUGCGCUGUACACAACUAGUUCAUUAGCAUGGAGCAGCGUGGAGUGGAAGCCACAAUUUUCUUUUUUCUUUUUAAAUGAGCUAAUAUUUGGAGAAGGAGAGAUCUGAGGCGCAUAUAACAGCUUUCUGCUGAAACCUUUAGGAGGAUGAAAGACACUGGAUGAUAAUGAAAUUGUAUUUUGAGCUUUUUUCCAUAAAACGAAGUAGUCAUUCUAGUGUGCGAAGUGCUAUAAUUAUAAAGCAAUUUGCCACUCUUAAUGGGAGGACUUUUAUUUCAUAAAAUAUUAACAAAAUAUAAUAUCGGUGCAAUAGGUUAGGAACAGUCUUAUUUUCUCCAUAAAAAGUCAAUUUGUAACCACUGCAGCCUGUCUUUCUCAAGAUGGCUAUAUUAGGGUAGCUGAUCCUUUUAUAGAAGUAUCAAAAUAUAAGCAUUAAAAUCAUCGCCACGGCUAUCUCAUUUACCUUUCUGCUUAGUAAUUAAAUAUUUUUCACUGUCUGCCUAUUUCACUUAGAGGCUGGUGUUGUUUCCAGAGGUGAUAGGCCCAAGGGAAGCAGCAUUUGAUCAAUGCCUAAAAAAGUAAAAUCAUUUGAGAUGAAACUACAUUUAAGAAAGGUCUGUUCUGUCAAGAUGAUAACCUCUCUCCCAAUGUGCCUAAAAAAGCAUUUCUCUUAAGCUAGCAAGUAGGGAAAAAUCAAAUUUUUUUUUCUUCCCUACAAUAAAAUGAGGGGAAGAAAGUGAGGGAGUGUCAGUAAUUAUGGGAUUUCAGUUCUGAUCUGGGCAGCUGCAAAGCAUAUGUAUCAUAGGAAGAACAAAGGACUGGAGAUGGCAGAAUUAACCAAGCCUUAAUGGAUUCACUCUUUCUCUUGCUCUCUUUGUUACUAUUUUUAAUUAUCCGGUAAAUUUUUUCCUUUUUUUUUCUUCUUUCUGUUAGUGUUCCAGUAUUCAACCAGUCAAGCAGAGCACGAUCAACUCCUAGGGAAGUCGUUAAUCAUACUCAUUUUGAUAGUGCUUCAAAAUCAAAUAAGGAUUGGAUCUCUCUAAAUAGUUGAGACAGAGAUCAUGGAGGAAACUACUUGAGCUGAAUGAUAAACAUUGUUUUUUUUUUUUUUUCUUAAAAUGAAGGAGACACACACACCCCAACCUCCCUAGCCUCUGUGCUCACGUUAGCUGGGACGUCAGCUAGGUAGAAAGGGUAGAGCAAGAGCAAUGUCACGAGACACAGAGCAAAACAUUCAGUUAACAAAAGAAUCAGAAAUAAAAUGAUCUCUUUCUCCAGCUUUCCAUUCUGUCUGAUCAGUCACUGAAAAUGAAUACACCAAACCUUAGUGCAGUAUAAAAUUGCUGCAGUGGAGCUGAUGAGAGAGAUGGGGUCUGCCUCUGCACUGUUCAGGCUGAGAAUAUGUCAGGGCUGAAGCUUGUGUGUUUGACAGAAGCUAAAGGGCCAGGAAACUGUCAUUUCAUUUGAGCAACCAGUUCAUUGGCUUCAGAGCGAUUGCACCAGUUUAGACUAAUGAUAAUCUGAUCCUAUAUCUGGUAAAGCGAAAGGUGGAGUUUUGUCAGGUUUCUCCACCAAAAAGACUCAAGAAAGAACCCCAGAAGACUCAAGGUGUUGGUGUUUUCUUGGGAAGCUAUGAAGCAUUGCUCUGCCUUUUUUUGGUUUUGGUUUUGUUUUCCCCUCAGUAUUAAUAAUGACUAUAUAGUAGUAGUAAAGCCUUCUGCAUUAAAAAACAAACAAAAAUAAAACCACCCAUAUGUGAAC